Molecule: ribosomal RNA, 253 nt
Filed under: uncultured bacterium
Lineage: Bacteria
Description: partial 16S ribosomal RNA
Rfam family: Bacterial small subunit ribosomal RNA
Source: RNAcentral
UACAGAGGUCUCAAGCGUUGUUCGGAUUCAUUGGGCGUAAAGGGCGCGUAGGCGGAUGGCUUUGUCGGGCGUGAAAUUCCAGGGCUUAACCUUGGGGCUGCGUUCGAGACGGGCCGUCUUGAGUUUGGAAGAGGGUCGUGGAAUUCCCAGUGUAGAGGUGAAAUUCGUAGAUAUUGGGAAGAACACCGGUGGCGAAGGCGGCGACCUGGUCCUUGACUGACGCUGAUGCGCGAAAGCGUGGGGAGCAAACAGG